RNAcentral lists this ribosomal RNA (501 nucleotides) under Triticum aestivum (bread wheat). RNAcentral's name for it is "partial small subunit ribosomal RNA". The record is from RNAcentral. Lineage: Eukaryota; Viridiplantae; Streptophyta; Magnoliopsida; Poales; Poaceae.
AUGGAGGAGGAGGGCACGAAGAAGGCGGUGCUCUUCAGGCUGUUCGGCGUCGAGGUCCGCGGCGCGGAGGAGGAUGAUGACGCGGAGCCCAUGGAGCUCAAGAAGAGCACCAGCAUGCCCAACCUCGCCUGCGCCUCCACCGACCCGUUUCUCCUGCCCGGCGAGGCCAGCAAUGACAAGGGCUACGCCUCCGACGACGGCGAGCUAGCGCCCACGCCGCAUCUCAAGCGCCGCCGCCGCAAGGCCCAGGAGCGGAUGAAAGUUAACGCGAUUGUCCUCCAUCUGGAUCACACACGGGAUUCUGUGGACCGAGGAGGAGCACAGGAAGUUCCUGGGCAAUGGGGAGUGGAGAGGCAUCUCCAAGAACUUCGUCACCACCAGGACGGCCACGCAGGUGGCCAGCCACGCCCAGAAGUACUUCCUCCGGCAGACCAACCCCGACAAGAAGAAGCGCCAGGCCAGCCUCUUCGACGUCGGCAUCCCCGCUUCCCACAGCUAUGA